GGGUUGUGAGGUUAAGCGACUAAGCGUACACGGUGGAUGCCCUGGCAGUCAGAGGCGAUGAAGGACGUGCUAAUCUGCGAUAAGCGUCGGUGAGGUGAUAUGAACCGUUAUAACCGGCGAUUUCCGAAUGGGGAAACCCAGUGUGUUUCGACACACUAUCAUUAACUGAAUCCAUAGGUUAAUGAGGCGAACCGGGGGAACUGAAACAUCUAAGUACCCCGAGGAAAAGAAAUCAACCGAGAUUCCCCCAGUAGCGGCGAGCGAACGGGGAGGAGCCCAGAGCCUGAAUCAGUGUGUGUGUUAGUGGAAGCGUCUGGAAAGGCGCGCGAUACAGGGUGACAGCCCCGUACACAAAAAUGCACAU
Molecule: ribosomal RNA, 364 nt
Filed under: Escherichia coli
Lineage: Bacteria; Pseudomonadati; Pseudomonadota; Gammaproteobacteria; Enterobacterales; Enterobacteriaceae
Description: partial 23S ribosomal RNA
Rfam family: Bacterial large subunit ribosomal RNA
Source: RNAcentral